AGUGCAUGUGGUGGAUGCCUUGGCAGUCAGAGGCGAUGAAAGACGUGAUAGCCUGCGAAAAGCUCCGGGGAGGCGGCAAAUAUCCUUUGAUCCGGAGAUGUCUGAAUGGGGGAACCCACCUACUUUAAGGUAGGUAUUGCAACAUGAAUACAUAGUGUUGCAAGGCGAACGAGGGGAAGUGAAACAUCUCAGUACCCUUAGGAAAAGAAAUCAAUUGAGAUUCCCUCAGUAGCGGCGAGCGAACGGAUCAGCCCAUUAAGUUAUGUGUGUUUUAGUGGAACGCUCUGGGAAGUGCGAACGUAGAGGGUGAUAUUCCCGUACACGAAAGGGCACACAUAAUGAUGACGAGUAGGGCGAGGCACGUGAAACCUUGUCUGAAUAUGGGGGGACCAUCCUCCAAGGCUAAAUACUCCUGACUGACCGAUAGUGAACCAGUACCGUGAGGGAAAGGCGAAAAGAACCCCUGUGAGGGGAGUGAAAUAGAUCCUGAAACCGCAUGCAUACAAGCAGUGGGAGCACCUUCGUGGUGUGACUGCGUACCUUUUGUAUAAUGGGUCAGCGACUUAUAUUCAGUAGCGAGGUUAACCGUAUAGGGGAGCCGUAGAGAAAUCGAGUCUUAAUAGGGCGUUUAGUUGCUGGGUAUAGACCCGAAACCAGGCGAUCUAUCCAUGAGCAGGUUGAAGGUUGGGUAACACUAACUGGAGGACCGAACCCACUGUCGUUGAAAAGCCAGGGGAUGACUUGUGGAUAGGGGUGAAAGGCUAAUCAAGCCUGGUGAUAGCUGGUUCUCCCCGAAAGCUAUUUAGGUAGCGCCUCGGACGAAUACCAUAGGGGGUAGAGCACUGUUUCGGCUAGGGGGUCAUCCCGACUUACCAAACCGAUGCAAACUCCGAAUACCUAUGAGUACUAUCCGGGAGACAGACUGCGGGUGCUAACGUCCGUAGUCAAGAGGAAAACAAUCCAGACCGCCAGCUAAGGCCCCAAAAUCAUAGUUAAGUGGGAAACGAUGUGGGAAGGCAUAGACAGCUAGGAGGUUGGCUUAGAAGCAGCCACCCUUUAAAGAAAGCGUAAUAGCUCACUAGUCGAGUCGGCCUGCGCGGAAGAUGUAACGGGGCUAAAACUAUGUGCCGAAGCUGCGGAUGUAUACUUUGUAUACGUGGUAGGGGAGCGUUCUGUAAGCCGAUGAAGGUGUGUUGAGAAGCAUGCUGGAGGUAUCAGAAGUGCGAAUGCUGACGUGAGUAACGACAAAACGGGUGAAAAACCCGUUCGCCGAAAGACCAAGGGUUCCAGUCCAACGUUAAUCGGGGCUGGGUGAGUCGACCCCUAAGGCGAGGCCGAAAGGCGUAGUCGAUGGGAAAAUGGUUAAUAUUCCAUUACUUCUGUGUAAUGCGAUGAGAGGACGGAGAAGGCUAAAUCAGCCUGGCGUUGGUUGUCCAGGUGAAAGGAUGUAGGCAUGUAUCUUAGGCAAAUCCGGGGUACUCUAUGCUGAGAUCUGAUAGCAAGCUGUACUUGUACAGCGAAGUGGUUGAUGCCAUGCUUCCAGGAAAAGUCUCUAAGCUUCAGUUACACAGGAAUCGUACCCGAAACCGACACAGGUGGUCAGGUCGAGUAGACCAAGGCGCUUGAGAGAACUCUGCUGAAGGAACUAGGCAAAAUGGUACCGUAACUUCGGGAGAAGGUACGCUGUUGUUGGUGAUGGAACUCGCUUCCUGAGCUGACGACAGCCGCAGAAACCAGGCCGCUGCAACUGUUUAUUAAAAACAUAGCACUCUGCAAACACGAAAGUGGACGUAUAGGGUGUGAUGCCUGCCCGGUGCUGGAAGGUUAAUUGAUGGGGUUAGCGUAAGCGAAGCUCUUGAUCGAAGCCCCAGUAAACGGCGGCCGUAACUAUAACGGUCCUAAGGUAGCGAAAUUCCUUGUCGGGUAAGUUCCGACCUGCACGAAUGGCAUAAUGAUGGCGGCGCUGUCUCCAGCAGAGGCUCAGUGAAAUCGAAAUCGCUGUGAAGAUGCAGUGUACCCGCGGCUAGACGGAAAGACCCCGUGAACCUUUACUGCAGCUUGACACUGAACUUUGACCUUACUUGUGUAGGAUAGGUGGGAGGCUUUGAAGCUGGAACGCUAGUUCCAGUGGAGCCGUCCUUGAAAUACCACCCUGGUAAUGUUGAGGUUCUAACUCUGUCCCGUGAUCCGGGACGAGGACCGUGUCUGGUGGGUAGUUUGACUGGGGCGGUCUCCUCCUAAAGAGUAACGGAGGAGUACGAAGGUGCGCUCAGCGUGGUCGGAAAUCACGCGUAGAGUAUAAAGGCAAAAGCGCGCUUAACUGCGAGACCCACAAGUCGAGCAGGUACGAAAGUAGGUCUUAGUGAUCCGGUGGUUCUGUAUGGAAGGGCCAUCGCUCAACGGAUAAAAGGUACUCUGGGGAUAACAGGCUGAUACCGCCCAAGAGUUCAUAUCGACGGCGGUGUUUGGCACCUCGAUGUCGGCUCAUCUCAUCCUGGGGCUGAAGCAGGUCCCAAGGGUAUGGCUGUUCGCCAUUUAAAGAGGUACGCGAGCUGGGUUUAGAACGUCGUGAGACAGUUCGGUCCCUAUCUACCGUGGGCGCUGGAAAUUUGAGAGGAUCUGCUCCUAGUACGAGAGGACCAGAGUGGACGAACCUCUGGUGUACCGGUUGUGACGCCAGUCGCAUCGCCGGGUAGCUAUGUUCGGAAGGGAUAACCGCUGAAAGCAUCUAAGCGGGAAGCCUACCUCAAGAUAAGAUUUCCCUAGGACUUUAUGUCCUCUAAAGAGCCGUUCGAGACUAGGACGUUGAUAGGUUGGAUGUGGAAGCAUAGUGAUAUGUGAAGCUGACCAAUACUAAUUGCUCGUGAGGCUUGACU
This 2876-nucleotide ribosomal RNA is filed under the name Acinetobacter baumannii AB5256. Its description in RNAcentral is "bacterial LSU rRNA". It matches the Rfam family "Bacterial large subunit ribosomal RNA". The record is from RNAcentral. Lineage: Bacteria; Pseudomonadati; Pseudomonadota; Gammaproteobacteria; Moraxellales; Moraxellaceae.